CCACUCCCACCCAGGCUGCUCCGUGUCGCAGCAGCAGCCUCACCGCAGCGCUCUGCCCCGACCAGCUGGCGCACAUCACCGCCGUCCAGAAUCUUCAUAGAACUGCCUGACCUCCUCGCCAUUGAGUGCGAUGCCCGUUUUGGAGCUGGACGGCUCGGUUUCCUCGAUGCUGAACAGAUCCUGCCCGCUGGCGGGAGUGAAGCCCAAAGCAGCCAUGAGGAGUGACGCAGAGUGGUCUCUCAGCAUCGCCACGUGACUCACCGUGAGUGCUGCCCCCUGCCGGAGUGGAGGGGGAUUGUUUACUGUUUGACUUCAGAGGCUUGUAGGAAAUUAUAACUUUAGUUAAAGUGCAUGAGAUUGAUCAGAUAACUAUUCUUAAAAUAGAGAAAGUAAACAUACUCGUUAUAGAGAAUACAAUAUAAACAAUAAUACAAUACAUAUAUAGUCAAAAUAUAUUAAUGUUAUGAGCAGCAGAAAGUUAAUGUUCAAUAAACUUUUACCCAGAGAGGGGUAUUUGGUUAUUAUUUAUAUCAUAAAUAGUGUUUUAUAUUUCCUGACUUUUUUUUCUCUGAAGAUCCCGGAAAGGGUUAUUAAUAUUUGGUUAUGUGUGGCUUUCUGGAAAACAAUACAUGUUUACAUUUAGGCACCCUUGCGAUCGUCACACUUUUUCUGUUACAAACUGACCCCCAUCAGAAGAUUAUCAUAAUAUAUUACUUUAUGUUUUGCUUUUAGUUUUUGAUUAAUGAAAAGCCCAGAUAUCCUUAAAUGAUAAAAAAAAAAAAAAUGUUUUCUUACAUUUCGGUCGAGAUAACAGCUGCACAAUAUGUAUCUGCAUAUUGGAAUUGAUUUAUUCUCUUUUGACUGAGUCACAAAUUGAAAGUAAAUUAAAUGCUGCAGCGUACACCUUUACAAAUACCCCUCAUAAACCUAUUCACAUGCGCUCGCAAGGUGAACAAAUGUUUUAUUCUUAUGGCACUUUUCUAAACACGGGUUACACGGAUGGCUUCACGGGAAUAUUUCAAAAAUAAUGAAACAAAAUAAACAUGACAACACACAUAAUGACACGUGAUCUCUGACAUCCGUUAGUGACCAUAAUCAUAUCCAGUUUGUAGAAAGGUCGCCGAACUCUCGGCAUGCACGACUGUGUUUGUUGGUAAAACGAGACGCUUGAAUGAGAAAGAGCUGAAUGAAGAGGGGCGUGUCAGGGGCCGAGGGGGAGGAGCUACGAGGGCAAGACCCGUAAGAGCUUUUGGACUAAGUAGAAGAAUAAAGUCGAGCUAGGGAGGUUGCAGGAAACUCCACAGCAGCGACUGUGAACAACAAACGUGAAGCUUGUAGAGUAAAAUGUUAGCCUAAUAUCUUAGAUAUCAGACCCUUGAAAGCACCAUCUAUGAUGGAAUGUAAACAUGAUUCAUCUGUUUACUUCAGUCAUUUUUGCAAAAAGUGUGUUGUAUAAAUGACAAUAAAUUCUCCAUGAAUCCACUCA
Pseudoliparis swirei is the source of this 1486-nucleotide long non-coding RNA. RefSeq lists it as uncharacterized. The record is from RefSeq and is a predicted model, not a curated record. The transcript is spliced from 3 exons. NCBI's taxonomy places the organism in Eukaryota, Metazoa, Chordata, Actinopteri, Perciformes, Liparidae.